UCUGCAGUCGACGAUGAGUACCUUUCGGGGUACAUCAGUGGCGGACGGCUGAGUAACACGUAGGUAACGUGCCCUUUACUGGGGGAUAACAUCGGGAAACCGGUGCUAAUACCGCAUAAGUGCCAGGUUGAAAUACCUGUCAUUAAAGAAUUUCGGUAAAGGAUCGGCCUGCGUCUGAUUAGCUAGUUGGUAGGGUAAAGGCCUACCAAGGCAAUGAUCAGUAGUUGGUCUGAGAGGAUGACCAGCCAGAGUGGGACUGAGACACGGCCCACACUUCUACGGAAGGCAGCAGUAGGGAAUUUUGCGCAAUGGGCGAAAGCCUGACGCAGCAACACCGCGUGUAGGAUGAAGGAUCUUGGUCUGUAAACUACUGUCAGCAGGGAAUAAUUUUGACUGUACCUGCAAAGGAAGCAUCGGCUAACUACGUGCCAGCAGCCGCGGUAAGACGUAGGAUGCAAGCGUUGUCCGGAAUUAUUGGGCGUAAAGAGUUCGUAGGCGGUUAUCUAAGUCUGGUGUUAAAGCCCGAAGCUCAACUUCGGCAUGGCAUUGGAAACUGGAUAGCUAGAGUGUGGUAGAGGUAUCGUGAAUUCCUGGUGUAGCGGUGAAAUGCGUAGAUAUCAGGAGGAACACCGGCGGCGAAAGCGCGAUACUGGGCCAUAACUGACGCUGAGGAACGAAAGCCAGGGGAGCGAAAGGGAUUAGAUACCCCUGUAGUCCUGGCCGUAAACGAUGGAUACUAGGUGUUGGAGGAUUCGACCCCCUUCAGUGCCGUAGCUAACGCGAUAAGUAUCCCCGCCUGGGGAGUACGACCGCAAGGUUGAAACUCAAAGGAAUUGACGGGGGCCCGCACAAGCGGUGGAACAUGUGGUUUAAUUCGAUGCAACGCGAAGAACCUUACCUGGGCUUGACAUCUUUGGAACCUUGCGGAAACGUGAGGGGUGCCUUCGGGAGCCAAAAGACAGGUGGUGCACGGUUGUC
This 978-nucleotide ribosomal RNA is filed under the name uncultured bacterium. RNAcentral's name for it is "bacterial SSU rRNA". It matches the Rfam family "Bacterial small subunit ribosomal RNA", at positions 54 to 1053 of the family's 1533-position model. The record is from RNAcentral.